UGGUUCUGGCAUNGAUGAAGAACGCAGCGAAAUGCGAUAAGUAAUGUGAAUUGCAGAAUUCAGUGAAUCAUCGAAUCUUUGAACGCACAUUGCGCCCCUUGGUAUUCCGAGGGGCAUGCCUGUCCGAGCGUCAUUAUCACCCUCAAGCCCCCGGCUUGCCCUUGGGCCCCGGCCUGCCCCGGCCGGCCCGAAAAGCAGUGACGGUCCCGCGCCCGACCCCCAAGCAUGCGUACCGGCACAAGCAGACGCUGCGAGGGGCCGGCGGGACCGGCGUCAGCGCCUUCUCCACGUUGACCUCGGAUCAGGUAGGGAUACCCGCUGA
Molecule: unclassified non-coding RNA, 322 nt
Filed under: uncultured fungus
Lineage: Eukaryota; Fungi
Description: partial contains 5.8S ribosomal RNA and internal transcribed spacer 2
Rfam family: 5.8S ribosomal RNA (bases 1-133)
Source: RNAcentral